This 805-nucleotide ribosomal RNA is filed under the name Acinetobacter baumannii OIFC083. Its description in RNAcentral is "bacterial SSU rRNA". It matches the Rfam family "Bacterial small subunit ribosomal RNA", at positions 28 to 827 of the family's 1533-position model. The record is from RNAcentral. Lineage: Bacteria; Pseudomonadati; Pseudomonadota; Gammaproteobacteria; Moraxellales; Moraxellaceae.
AUUGAACGCUGGCGGCAGGCUUAACACAUGCAAGUCGAGCGGGGGAAGGUAGCUUGCUACCGGACCUAGCGGCGGACGGGUGAGUAAUGCUUAGGAAUCUGCCUAUUAGUGGGGGACAACAUCUCGAAAGGGAUGCUAAUACCGCAUACGUCCUACGGGAGAAAGCAGGGGAUCUUCGGACCUUGCGCUAAUAGAUGAGCCUAAGUCGGAUUAGCUAGUUGGUGGGGUAAAGGCCUACCAAGGCGACGAUCUGUAGCGGGUCUGAGAGGAUGAUCCGCCACACUGGGACUGAGACACGGCCCAGACUCCUACGGGAGGCAGCAGUGGGGAAUAUUGGACAAUGGGGGGAACCCUGAUCCAGCCAUGCCGCGUGUGUGAAGAAGGCCUUAUGGUUGUAAAGCACUUUAAGCGAGGAGGAGGCUACUUUAGUUAAUACCUAGAGAUAGUGGACGUUACUCGCAGAAUAAGCACCGGCUAACUCUGUGCCAGCAGCCGCGGUAAUACAGAGGGUGCGAGCGUUAAUCGGAUUUACUGGGCGUAAAGCGUGCGUAGGCGGCUUAUUAAGUCGGAUGUGAAAUCCCCGAGCUUAACUUGGGAAUUGCAUUCGAUACUGGUGAGCUAGAGUAUGGGAGAGGAUGGUAGAAUUCCAGGUGUAGCGGUGAAAUGCGUAGAGAUCUGGAGGAAUACCGAUGGCGAAAGCAGCCAUCUGGCCUAAUACUGACGCUGAGGUACGAAAGCAUGGGGAGCAAACAGGAUUAGAUAUCCUGGUAGUCCAUGCCGUAAACGAUGUCUACUAGCCGUUGGG